GAUGAACGCUGGCGGCGUGCCUAAUACAUGCAAGUCGAGCGAACAGACGAGGAGCUUGCUCCUCUGACGUUAGCGGCGGACGGGUGAGUAACACGUGGAUAACCUACCUAUAAGACUGGGAUCACUUCGGGAAACCGGAGCUAAUACCGUAUAAUAUAUUGAACCGCAUGGUUCAAUAGUGAAAGACGGUUUUGCUGUCACUUAUAGAUGGAUCCGCGCCGCAUUAGCUAGUUGGUAAGGUAACGGCUUACCAAGGCGACGAUGCGUAGCCGACGUGAGAGGGGGAUAGGCCACACUGGAACUGAGACACGGUCCAGACGCCUACGGGAGGCAGCAGAAGGGAAUGGGACGCAAUGGGCGAAAGCAUGACGGAGCAACGCCGAGUGAGUGAUGAAGGUGUUCGGAUCGUAAAAAUCUGUUAUUAGGGAAGAACAAAUGUGUAAGGAAAUAUGCACGUAGUGACGGUACCGAAUCAGAAAGCAACGGCUAACUACGUG
RNAcentral lists this ribosomal RNA (497 nucleotides) under uncultured bacterium. Its description in RNAcentral is "partial 16S ribosomal RNA". It matches the Rfam family "Bacterial small subunit ribosomal RNA", at positions 28 to 507 of the family's 1533-position model. The record is from RNAcentral.